This 492-nucleotide ribosomal RNA is filed under the name uncultured bacterium. RNAcentral describes it as "partial 16S ribosomal RNA". It matches the Rfam family "Bacterial small subunit ribosomal RNA", at positions 29 to 507 of the family's 1533-position model. The record is from RNAcentral.
AUUGAACGCUGGCGGCAUGCUUUACACAUGCAAGUCGAACGGUAACAGGCCUUCGGGUGCUGACGAGUGGCGAACGGGUGAGUAAUGCAUCGGAACGUGCCCAGAGGUGGGGGAUAACGCAGCGAAAGCUGUGCUAAUACCGCAUGUGAUCUGAGGAUGAAAGCGGGGGACCACGCAGCAAUGUUCGGCCUCGCGCCUCUGGAGCGGCCGAUGUCAGAUUAGGUAGUUGGUGGGGUAAAGGCCUACCAAGCCGACGAUCUGUAGCUGGUCUGAGAGGACGACCAGCCACACUGGGACUGAGACACGGCCCAGACUCCUACGGGAGGCAGCAGUGGGGAAUUUUGGACAAUGGGCGCAAGCCUGAUCCAGCAAUGCCGCGUGCGGGAAGAAGGCCUUCGGGUUGUAAACCGCUUUUGUACGGAACGAAAAGGCGCUGGCUAAUACCUGGGGCUGAUGACGGUACCGUAAGAAUAAGCACCGGCUAACUACGUG